GGGGUUGUAGCUCAUCAGUAGAGCGCUUGCCUAGCAAGUGUGAGGCCCUGGGUUCGAUCCUCAGCACCA
RNAcentral lists this transfer RNA (69 nucleotides) under Ictidomys tridecemlineatus (thirteen-lined ground squirrel). Its description in RNAcentral is "Spermophilus tridecemlineatus (thirteen-lined ground squirrel) tRNA". It matches the Rfam family "tRNA". From Rfam's summary of the family: Transfer RNA (tRNA) molecules are approximately 80 nucleotides in length. Their secondary structure includes four short double-helical elements and three loops (D, anti-codon, and T loops). Lineage: Eukaryota; Metazoa; Chordata; Mammalia; Rodentia; Sciuridae. The record is from Rfam by way of RNAcentral.